CGAAGGGGCUAGCGUUGUUCGGAAUUACUGGGCGUAAAGCGAGUGUAGGUGGCUGUCCAAGUUGGAUGUGAAAGCCUUGAGCUCAACUCAAGAAAUGCAUUCAGGACUGGGCGGCUAGAGGACCGGAGAGGAUAGUGGAAUUCCCAGUGUAGUGGUGAAAUACGUAGAGAUUGGGAAGAACACCAGUGGCGAAGGCGGCUAUCUGGACGGUUUCUGACACUAAGACUCGAAAGCGUGGGGGAGCAAACAGGAUU
Molecule: ribosomal RNA, 254 nt
Filed under: uncultured bacterium
Lineage: Bacteria
Description: partial 16S ribosomal RNA
Rfam family: Bacterial small subunit ribosomal RNA
Source: RNAcentral